This 327-nucleotide unclassified non-coding RNA is filed under the name Ascomycota sp. RNAcentral describes it as "partial contains small subunit ribosomal RNA, internal transcribed spacer 1, and 5.8S ribosomal RNA". The stretch from base 1 to 47 matches the Rfam family "Eukaryotic small subunit ribosomal RNA", at positions 1785 to 1831 of the family's 1831-position model. The record is from RNAcentral. Lineage: Eukaryota; Fungi; Ascomycota.
AAAGUCGUAACAAGGUUUCUGUAGGUAAACCUGCAGAAGAAUCAUUAACAGUGAGCCCCGGUUCUCACCGGAGACUACACCUCUUAUCACAAAAAAGCACUCGGACUGUACUUUCCAGUCAGUGGGCUUUUUUGAAGUGUAAUGCAUCCACCCAUUGUGAAACUUAACCUAUACUUCGGCAGCACUCUUAGCCUUAAAACUGCUAGAGGGGUAAGACUGUCAGAAGCCCACUGUCAAACUAGUUGAUGAAAUGUCAUGCAGUCUGAUAACUACUAUUUGAGAAAUCAAAUUACGUUAAAACUUUCAGCAACGGAUCUCUUGGUUCUC